AUUGAACGCUGGCGGCAGGCCUAAUACAUGCAAGUCGAACGAGUGGCGGACGGGUGAGUAAUGUCUGGGAACCUGCCUGAUGGAGGGGGAUAACUCCUGGAAACGGUAGCUAAUACCGCAUACCAUUCGAUUUGCCCAGAUUGGAUUAGCUAGUAGGUGGGGUAAAGGCUCACCUAGGCCACGAUCCCUAGCUGGUCUGAGAGGGUGACCAGCCACACUGGAACUGAGACACGGUCCAGACUCCUACGGGAGGCAGCAGUGGGGAAUAUUGCGCAAUGGGCGCAAGCCUGAUGCAGCCAUGCCGCGUGUAUGAAGAAGGCCUUCGGGUUGUAAAGUACUUUCAGCGAGGAGGCGGUACUCGCAGAAGAAGCACCGGCUAACUCCGUGCCAGCAGCCGCGGUAAUUC
RNAcentral lists this ribosomal RNA (406 nucleotides) under uncultured bacterium. Its description in RNAcentral is "partial 16S ribosomal RNA". It matches the Rfam family "Bacterial small subunit ribosomal RNA", at positions 30 to 526 of the family's 1533-position model. The record is from RNAcentral.